CAGCAGCCGCGGGAAUACAGAGGGUGCGAGCGUUAAUCGGAUUUAAUGGGCGUAAAGCGUGCGUAGGCGGCUUCUUAAGUCGGAUGUGAAAUCCCUGAGCUUAACUUAGGAAUUGCAUUCGAUACUGGGAAGCUAGAGUAUGGGAGAGGAUGGUAGAAUUCCAGGUGUAGCGGUGAAAUGCGUAGAGAUCUGGAGGAAUACCGAUGGCGAAGGCAGCCAUCUGGCCUAAUACUGACGCUGAGGUACGAAAGCAUGGGGAGCAAACAGGAUUAGAUACCCCAGUAGUCCCUGUCUCUUAUAA
RNAcentral lists this ribosomal RNA (301 nucleotides) under uncultured bacterium. RNAcentral describes it as "partial 16S ribosomal RNA". It matches the Rfam family "Bacterial small subunit ribosomal RNA", at positions 509 to 809 of the family's 1533-position model. The record is from RNAcentral.